AGACCCAGUGAGGGGUUCUGGGCCUCACACAGACCCUGCCAGGGCGGCCACCGGGCGCGCCACGUCGGCCGCAGUUGGGUAUAUAAGCCGGGCCGGCGCGCCGGUGGGCGACAGAGCUGGGCCGUCCGGACAAGAUGGCCGCCUCACUCGUGCUGCUGCUGCUCGUGUCGGUGUGCGCUGCCGAGUUGGGCUUCCAGCCCAAGCGGCAGUACACCUACCUGUACGAAGCAAAGCAGGCCAGCGGUAUCCCCGGUAUCCAGUCGCAAUGGUCCGCUCUGGGAAUGAAAAUGAAGGUCACAGUCCAGGUGCCCACCGCCGGCAACCUCUUCUUCAAGCUGGAGAACGUCCAGCAAGGUGAACUGAAGAACACCUACACACAACAGCCGUGGCGCAAGAGCUUCAGCUUGCCGUACUCUCCAGUCCAGCAGUACCAGCAGGAGCUCAGCAAGGUCUUCAAGGUGGAGCUCAACGGCGGAGUGAUCAGGAAGAUCAUCACCUCUGGAGAGGAGCCUAUCUGGGUGGUCAACAUCAAGAAGUCGAUCGCGCAGAUGUUCCAGCUGGAUAUGCAGAAACACCAAGCCAUCGACGUGCCGAGCAUGGUUCAGCCCAGCGGAUACCAGAGUGGUCAGCAGGCCGACUUCUUCCGCGUUAUGGAGGAGAGCAUCGGAGGCGAGUGUGAGACCCUGUACGAGACGACGCCGGUCUUGCCGCAGGAGCUCAAGGCCGACAUGGUGCAGGAGCUGACUCUUCUCUCCCAGACCUCUCUGCCAGGCAUCAAGGUGCCCGACUUCGACAGCUUCCAUCCGUUCGUCGUUACCAAGACGAAGAACUACCAGAACUGCAAGUCGAGGCCCAACUGGCAGCACAUGACUCCCGGUGCCGUCUCCUGCCACACCGAGGACUGCUACCUGACCGCCUCAAACCGCAGCGCCUCAGCACGCUACGUCCUGGACGGCGACCGCAACAACUUCCAGAUCCAGUACGUGGUGGCCGAGAGUGAGGCACUCAUGUUCCCCUAUGGUCAUGAGACUGAGCAACUGUGGACAGUUACCAACCAGACACUGUUCCUGCAGAAGAACGAAAAGAUGGCCUCCUUCAUCGGGGAGCCACAUCAGGGAGUGACGCACAAUACCCUUGCCUUCCAGUACCCCACCGCUGACGGCAAGGGGCUGAAGACUCCCGACCUCAAGUCGGCGCCACAGCUGAGCACUUACCUCCCGGGCGCACCAGUCAAGCUCAUCCUGGAGAAGAUGCCCCCCACCCAGCUUGUCGGUGUCAUCGUCCAGCUGAUCCAGAAGGUAGACCAGAUGACUCAGAAAGUACCCGAUCCAGUCCAGCAGGAUGUCACAGGCUACAUUCUGGAGAUUGAGCGAGCACUCAGCUGGCUGAGCUAUGAUCAGCUGGGCCAGAUCUACAGCCAACUGAAAACUGAUGGUCAGAAGGGUAUCUACUGGGAUUGUCUGGCUAUGGCUGGCACCAACCCGACUGUGAUGAGGCUCAUUGACGACAUCUCCAGCAAUAAGGUGGACUUGAACCGCAUGACACCUAUUCUGGCCACACUGCCGGUCAACAUAAAGACGCCCACCUACCAACUGAUCCAACAACUCUUCCAGCUAUUCAGGUCACCAAUGAUUCAGUCACACCAGAUGCAGCGAGCGACAAUGGCUUUGUCUCUCUCUAACAUCUUCUACCAGAUCUGCAUCAGCAACACGACCGUGGAGCACAGUUACACGCAGGGACUGUACAAAGAGCACUUCUGCAACAGUCAAACGAAUGCUCUUCUGAAGGAGCAGUUCAUUCCUUUCUUGGAAAGCAUCAUUCAGCAGUCCCAAGAAUCCGAGAGGCUCGCCUUCAUCCAAGCUCUCGCUAACACCGGGGACAAGAGCAUCAUCCCAGUUCUGGAGAGUAUUGUGACAAUGCAAAAGAGCCCGUUGGAAGCCAGCAAGGCCAUUUACGCUUUCUAUCGCGUUGUUGCACAGUACCCAGAGAAGGUGCGCAAGAUCAUGUCGCCGAUCUACCACGACAUCUCUAAGCCUGCCGAGGUUCGCGUUGCUGCAAUUACCAUGGUUCUCGCCACCAACCCUCCCAUCGCCUACUGGCAAAAGAUCGCCACAAGCACCUGGUUUGAGCCCAGCAAUGCUGUUGCUGCCGUCAUCCACAGCACCUACAGCACCAUGGCCAAUGUCACCAUGGCCCACGUUGAGCCGCUGUUCGAGAUGAGCCGGAACGCUCGCAUCACACUUCCUCUUGUGCGUCCUCCCCAGGGUGGAUAUGCCCUCAGCGGAAGCUACAGCUCCCAUAACGGCCAGUUCAUACCUCAGUACCAAGUGGCUGCCAUCUCCCACUGGGCCACCAUUGCGUCCAAAACAUCGGUUAUUCCAAGCGUUCUGUACCUGGAGUUCCAAAACUACGUUAACAGCAUCCUCUACAGCAACCACCGGUGGAGUCUCAACAUGCAGGGUGGCCAGCAAAUUAUCGAUGACAUCAUGGGAGUCGAGUACAAUAGCCAGCAGCGUGCACGUCAGUCACCGCGCGAUCUCCGCGCUGUCUAUCAGAGUCUUGAUAGCUUCAUGCAAUCUAUGAAGGAGAAGCUGCAAGCUCCAGAGAAGUUCCACGCCACCCUGUACGCUCAACUGCUCGGAGCAGUCGACGUCUUCGUGGCCCUCGACGAGAGUAGCUACAGCUCUUGGCUGCUGAAGGUCCGCCAGGGUGGAAGCUGGUCGUCACAGCAGGUGCAGAAAAUCACUUACCUUGAGGAUACCACCGUCACCUUCGCUUCUGAGAUCGGCAUGCCUGUCAUCUAUUCGAAGAAAAUGCCAAUGAUAGCUUCUGUUCGGGGUCAGAUGAGCGUUGAAUGGAAACCGCAGGACGGUCAGUAUCACGUCACCAUGGAUAACGUCCAGCCGUUUGUUGCUGUCACGAAUCUCGUCACUGUCACCACCAUUAACCCCUUCUCGCUGCGUUCGCUUGGCGCUGGCGUUGAGAACAAGCUGCAGCUGUCGCUGCCUAUGUCAUUCGAGGCAACCCUGGACACUCGGGCGAAGGCUAUUCAGCUCGAGAUUCAGCCUGUUCAGCAGCAGUCGUCGACCCAGGUCAAGGUUGCCCACAUUCGUACCUUCCCCUUCACCACUGCAGUAGAGGUCAACAAGUACGAGAGCCUCGUCACAUCAUCUGACACCAAGGAAAUCACUUCAUCUCACCCCACUGAGUGGAAGCUGCCAUUCGGCAAGGACGUUGGAGUCGAGGCCUACCUGCGACUGGUUUCUGACAGCCCUGUCAUGAGCUUUGGCACAUUCUGGGCCGAGGCGGCAAAGCGAGGCCGUACUGGACUUACGAGCUACUGGUUCAUGAUGGAGUCGCUGCGCUCACGACACUACGAUGUUGUGAUCGACACUGCUCGGUCUACCUUCCAGAAACUACAGGCAACGUUUGCUCUUGUGUCGCCGGAUGGUCAGUCACCUGAAAUGCGUCGCCCGAUCAUCACCAGCCAGGAACACACUAGGCAGAUUCAGUCUAACAUCCAGCAGACGCGGCAGAUGCUGCAGAAUCAGCAGAUGCAGAGUCCGCAGAUGUCCCAGCAGCAGAGGCAAGUGAUGAGCGUCAAGUACGGAUAUUCUGCGACGGCCACCAUCUCGCAGAAGAAUGGCUCUCCGCUGCAAUACUCUUCGAAGAUUGCUCUGCUCACUGAUCCCAACUGGUACACUCAGAAACUUGCACUCAAGGCAAACUCUCCCAACAGCGAGACAUGCCUCGACGCCGAGCUUGCUUUCCCGACUCUCAGCGACAUCCGUGAUGAGCUGCUGAGGACGGAGAUCAAGGCACCGGUAUGGGCCAAGCUCGGCUACGGACGCAGCUGCCAGGAACAUUCUCUGAAGAUGCAGGGCUAUGUGCGUCGUGACGAGCUCGCCAAGGAGUAUGCCACGUCCUGCCCGGAGGCUCAACGCUGCAGUCAGCACGAGAGGCAGGGAAAUCCCAACUCUGCCGACUGCCGCCUUGCCAAGGACCAUGCUGCACUGGCCAACUACUACGACCUGGAGUUCACUGGGACCGCUGUGACGCAGGACGUGCUGCAGGCGUGCUACAAUGUAGAAAGCUUCUUCAAGUACGUGCUCUGGCCGUACAUGAACGACAACAGAUUCUCUCAGAACCCAAGCGGCAAGGUCAAUGUCAAGAUGCAGCUAAAACCGUCCACCAAUUCUCUCAGCAUUCAAGUCCUGAAGCCUUACGCGACCACUAGCUUUGACAAAGUGCAGCUUCCGUUCAACAUGCUGCAGGAGCCGUGGCUUCUGACCAUGCGCAAGUCGAUCUCGAAGAAGAUCGUCGACAGCCUCUAUGGUGUUGACAAGACGGUCUGCCUGGUCGACCGGCUGGUAGUGAAGACCUACGACAAUGUGACGCUGGCACGCCACCCGUCCGAAUGCUGGACCCUGCUGACUGCGGACAGCAGCCGCAUUCGCAACAUCGCUGUGUUCGAAAAGCAGUCGACCAUCCGCGUCGUGAUGGCGGACCGGGUUGCCGAGUUCGACCUCGGCAGCCUGAGUCACUUCAAGGUGGACGGCCAGCCCCAGAAUAUCGAUGCUCGCACACCUGUCACUCUGCGUGACGACGCCACCCGUAAGACCGUCCUCCUGGUCCAGAUGCUGUCCCCCGACACCAUCAAGGUGGUGGCUCCGGAGCAUUACGUCAAGCUGAUCAUCUCGAAGGAAGGAGUGCAGAUCCACGCCUCCCUGCUGGCCUACCGCAACCGCAUGCGCGGAGUGUGCGGCGACUUCGAUGGCGAAGAGCAGAGCGACCUGGUGGGGCCCAGCGGCUGCAUCUACAAGACUGGCCAGGAGUUCUACGACGCGUACCGGGUGGCUCUGGACGGCUCCUCCUCCCAGUGCCAGUGGCGGGAGCCCUCUCGCUGCAUCCGCCGACCGGCUCAGGCACAGCCGUCUUACCAGUCGAUGCGGUUGCAGCAACCCUAUCGUCAAAUGCGUGGCCGCUACUAAUGCGUCGUUGCAGGACUUAUCCAGCCUGUGAGCCCCUCAUUUGAUUACUGAUUGUAACGGACAACAGACCCAUGCGCGAACUUUGAGCUCCCAUCGUGACCUACGUGUACAAAUGAUCAAUUGUAUUUGUCUGUUUGGUGAUGCAAUUAAAUCACGCAUCACAUGUGGACGACUGUAUGUAGUUAUAAAUAAAGCAUGACACAUAGCA
This 5199-nucleotide unclassified non-coding RNA is filed under the name Amphibalanus amphitrite. RNAcentral describes it as "vitellogenin-1-like, transcript variant X2". Lineage: Eukaryota; Metazoa; Arthropoda; Thecostraca; Balanomorpha; Balanidae. The record is from RNAcentral.